Molecule: RNA transcript, 2364 nt
Organism: Capra hircus (goat)
Lineage: Eukaryota; Metazoa; Chordata; Mammalia; Artiodactyla; Bovidae
Gene: UROC1
Gene name: urocanate hydratase 1
Exons: 21
Source: RefSeq, a predicted model, not a curated record
CACAGCGGCCCUCUGCCCCAGCCUCCGCCAGCCAUGUGCAGCCUCCAAGCGCUAUGCUCUGGCCUGCCCCUGCGACCCCUCCCGGAGAACCGGGGCCGGCGGGCCGGGGUGCCCCACGCCCCAGUCAGGACCCCUGGCCUCAGCCCCCGUGAGGAGCAGCUGGCGCUGAAGAACGCCCUCCGCUACUUCCCCCCGGACGUCCAGGAGGUGCUGGCCCCCGAGUUCGCCCAGGAGCUGCGGCUCUACGGCCACAUCUACAUGUACCGCUUCUGCCCCGACCUGGAGAUGAGGGCCUACCCGGUGGAGCAAUAUCCCUGCCGGACGAGGGCGGCUGCAGCCAUCAUGCUCAUGAUCAUGAACAACCUGGACCCAGCCGUGGCACAGUUUCCCCAGGAGCUCGUGACCUACGGAGGAAACGGGCAGGUGUUCAGCAACUGGGCGCAGUUCUGGCUGACAAUGUCCUACUUGGCCCAAAUGACGGAGGAGCAGACGCUGGCCAUGUACAGCGGACACCCGCUUGGCCUUUUCCCCAGCAGCCCCGAGGCCCCCAGGCUGGUCAUCACCAAUGGGAUGGUCAUUCCCAACUACUCCUCCAGGACAGACUACGAGAAGCUCUUUGCCGUGGGGGUUACCAUGUACGGCCAGAUGACGGCAGGCAGUUACUGCUACAUCGGCCCCCAGGGCAUCGUCCAUGGCACGGUGCUCACUGUGCUGAACGCGGGGCGGCGCUACCUAGGGCUCCAGGACCUGGCGGGCAAGGUCUUUGUCACCUCCGGGCUGGGCGGCAUGAGUGGGGCUCAGGCCAAAGCCGCUGUCAUCGUGGGGUGCAUCGGUGUGAUCGCAGAGGUGGAUGGCGCGGCCCUCAUGAAACGCCACAGGCAAGGCUGGCUGAUGGAAGUGACUGACAGCUUGGACCACUGUAUCGGAAGACUCAGGGAAGCAAGGAAGAGGAAGGAGGUGCUCAGCCUUGGUUACCAUGGCAACGUGGUGGACCUCUGGGAGCGCCUGGUCCAUGAACUGGACACAACGGGGGAACUCCUGGUGGACCUGGGGUCCGACCAGACGUCCUGCCACAACCCCUUCAACGGCGGCUACUACCCUGUGCAGCUGAGCUUCGCAGAGGCCCAGAGCCUCAUGGCCUCUGACCCCACUGCCUUCAAAGGCCUGGUCCAGGAGAGGGUCAUGAGGGCGCUGUUCCGUGGGGAUGCUGGGGACAGGCUGAGGCGACAUUUGCAAAGCUCUGGGGCAGCUGCAGCACCUACGGCCGCUAAGCAGCCUGCGGAGGCACGUGUCAGCCAUCAACAGGCUGGCCCGGGAGCGCUUCUUCUUUUGGGACUAUGGCAACGCCUUCCUCCUGGAGGCCCAGAGAGCCGGGGCCGACGUGGGGAAGCCGGGCGCCAACAGGACAGAGUUCCGCUACCCUUCCUACGUCCAGCACAUCAUGGGGGACAUCUUCUCCCAGGGCUUUGGGCCUUUCCGCUGGGUGUGCACCUCGGGGGACCCCCAGGACCUGGAGGUCACAGAUCGGCUGGCCACGUCUGCGUUGGAGGAGAUUGUUGCGGCCGGAGUGACCCCGGCUGUGAAGCUCCAGUACGUGGACAACAUCCGCUGGAUCCGGGAGGCUGCCAAGCACCAGCUGGUGGUGGGCUCCCAGGCCAGGAUCCUGUACUCGGACCAGAAAGGCCGUGUGGCCAUCGCCCUGGCCUUCAACCAAGCCAUCGCCCGUGGGGAGCUCAAGGCGCCGGUGGUCCUGAGCCGAGACCACCAUGACGUAAGUGGCACCGACAGCCCCUUUCGGGAGACCUCCAACAUUUACGACGGCUCUGCCUUCUGUGCAGACAUGGCUGUGCAGAACUUCGUGGGCGACGCGAUCCGUGGGGCCACCUGGGUCGCCCUGCACAACGGCGGGGGCGUUGGCUGGGGCGAGGUGAUCAACGGGGGCUUUGGCCUCGUGCUGGAUGGGACUGAGGACGCCGAGCGGAAGGCCAGGCGGGUGCUUAGCUGGGACGUUGCCAACGGAGUAGCCCGCCGCUGCUGGUCCGGGAGCCCCACAGCCUACGAGGUCAUCUGCCAGACGAUGCGGGAGGACAGUGGCAUGGUGGUGACGCUGCCGCACGCAGUGGCGGAUGAGCGUGUGCUCCAGGCCCUGCGGCUGUGAGAGGACUGGGCGUCCGCGGUGCCCUGGCCCCCGGGUCCCGCCCUCACCUCACAUUCCCCGUCCCCUCCACUGCUCGCCGUGCUCCCCUGGGUCCAGAGCUUUGCACACGGGCGCGCGUGGACGCAUGCACACAAGCAUGCACGCGCACGUAUGCACACGCGCGCGCACACACAGAUGCGCGCGCACGCACACACAGAUGCGCGCAC